AAUAUUGGACAAUGGGCGAAAGCCUGAUCCAGCCAUGCCGCGUGAGUGAUGAAGGCCUUAGGGUUGUAAAGCUCUUUCGCCGAGGACGAUAAUGACGGUACUCGGAUAAGAAGCCCCGGCUAACUUCGUGCCAGCAGCCGCGGUAAUACGAAGGGGGCUAGCGUUGUUCGGAAUUACUGGGCGUAAAGCGUAUGUAGGCGGGUCGUUAAGUUAGGGGUGAAAUCCCAAGGCUCAACCUUGGAACUGCCCUUGAUACUGGCGAUCUUGAGUCCGGGAGAGGUGAGUGGAACUGCGAGUGUAGAGGUGAAAUUCGUAGAUAUUCGCAAGAACACCAGUGGCGAAGGCGGCUCACUGGCCCGGUACUGACGCUGAGAUACGAAAGCGUGGGGAGCAAACAG
RNAcentral lists this ribosomal RNA (398 nucleotides) under uncultured bacterium. RNAcentral describes it as "partial 16S ribosomal RNA". It matches the Rfam family "Bacterial small subunit ribosomal RNA", at positions 360 to 775 of the family's 1533-position model. The record is from RNAcentral.